GAAUGAUUGCUUGUCUGUUUUCUCAUAGUAGUUUUCUGAAUGGUAGGUAUUUGUCUUCAUUACAGUGUUGUGAUUCUGUUCAUCUUCAUUGUGUUACUGUGGGUCUGGUCAUCUUCAUGGUAAUGUUGUGAAUGAUAUCUUGAAUGCUGAAGUGUUGUGAAUGGUAGCCCUGGUGUUGCAUCAAUGAGGAGUGCUCCCUCUGCUGAUCAAAUUGGAACAUCACAUUUUUUCACCUUCUCCCCCUUUCUUCCCUUUUCACUGGUCUAACUCCCUCUCUCCCCCUCUCUCCCAUCGGUCACCCCCCCUCCUCUGUCUCACACCCACCCACCCACACGAAUGCAGAUGGAUUGGGAGACCACCGUGAAGAAGCUUCCUUCCAUCAAAGAGGACGAGGAAGGGUCAGAGGAGAAUCGAAACUCGCCCCUUCCCAAAAUGUCCCGUACCCCUCUAGGUCUGGGGCGUGGACUGAGCUCCCCACUGCGCUCCCCGCUGCGCUCACCCCUGUUGCCCCCGCGCGGCCCCUUCCGCACGCCCACCGACCGCCACACCCAGCGGCCCACCAACCUGAAUAUCCCUGCGGUGAGCUUCAGCUGCGCCCCCCCGGACCUCAGUCCCAGGUUUGUGGAUGGGAUUGAGACCGACAGUGGUCGCAGUUUGGGCCAGAAGUUUGACUUCAGUCCCAGCGUGACCCAGUUAUUUCCAUCAAGCCCUAAUCCAGGAAUACUGAAUGAUUCAGACACCAUGCAGACUAUUGCCACUCUGAAAGAAGAGAUGACCAGCCUAUCCCACCAGGUGUCCCAGGUGGUCCAUGACCUCCAGGAGAUGACACAGCUGCUGAGGCCCCUCCUCCAGCCCCUCCAGUGUCCCUCCCAGUCCGUCCUCUCAUCCCUGAUGGCUGCUCUGUCUCCACCCACUAUCAGUGGCCACGCCCCUCCGCCGGACACACGCCCCUUUGACUCCACCUCACCGCGUGUGAAAGACACAGGGAUGUGGAGGGAGAGGAGACACUCGGACCCCCAUUUUAAGCCACCAAUUGGGGGCGUGCUCCCCACCCGCUCGGCUUCUACAGGGGCCAAGCCGUCCCCCACCGGCCCUGUUCAGCUCAGCUUCAUUGACGAGGAGAGACCCAUCAUCUGAGGGCCAAGUAGAAGUCAAUGCUAGGCCAGAUUUUCCUCACUGACAGUUAAGUAUGGGAUUGGGAGAGCCUAGGACAGGCAGAGACUGGCAUUAGAGAAUGGCAUCAGAGACUAACAUCAUAGACUGGCAUCGGAGAUAGGCUGGCACAUCACUGCAUGCGGCACAUGCCCAUGACUAACGCAGGUCACUAUUUCUGGAAUACUUAGAGGCCAGGAGAUAUUUAUCAUUAAAAAAUCUAUGUAUUAUUAAUAUUAAAUAUAUUAUUCAAUGUUAUGUCAUGAGAAGUUGUUACACAUCAUCUACCACUGGA
Molecule: long non-coding RNA, 1447 nt
Organism: Esox lucius (northern pike)
Lineage: Eukaryota; Metazoa; Chordata; Actinopteri; Esociformes; Esocidae
Source: Ensembl